GAGGAUAUGGCUGCAUUCAACCUCAAUGAAACCAGAAUUGCCUUCAUGCUUAGCAUACAAAAGUAGGCUCACUUAAGCAUAACGUCUGGUAGCUUAACAAAAGUAGGCAUACUUAAGCAUACUCUAUACGAAAAAUAGCCCUUUAUUGAAAAAUGAACAAGAAACCUUUGCCCAAAAAUUUAUGGAAAAAAUACCUUUGCCUAGAACAAAAUACCCCUCUUUAUGAAAAAUGAACUUAACAAUUAGACUCAAAAAUUUAUGAAAAAUCUCACUAAUUUAGGAAGAACAAGAAAUCAAAUACUUCAACUUUAUCAACAGUCAGGCUCCAUAACCAACAUACUUCAAAUAUGUCUAAAUAAAGAGGAAAUAACACCCAAAUCAUGUAAACAAGUCUAAGACAGCUUAACCAUAAAUAAACCUUAAAUUUGAUAAAGAAAUGCAUAAAUCAGUAAUUAACAAAAUACCUUUGCCUAGCAUCUACGAUUUGACUGCUGUCUUCAAAUGCUAUUUUGACGUUGGGUUUUGGUGGGCUGUUGUCUUUGCACCGUGGCCAAUGGCGCGCGCCGAUCAGUGGUCCAAAUGUCGGCGAUGAAGAAGCAUGCGGGUUUCCUCUUGCUUUGUGAUUUGGGGAAAAUGUCUAGAUUUUUUUUUUGGGAAAAUGAAGACGGGUUUAUCAAAAAGGGUCAAACUGGUUUGCUUUUCGAACCCUU
RNAcentral lists this long non-coding RNA (710 nucleotides) under Olea europaea (common olive). RNAcentral's name for it is "long non-coding RNA (OEUR_LNC013194)". The record is from RNAcentral. Lineage: Eukaryota; Viridiplantae; Streptophyta; Magnoliopsida; Lamiales; Oleaceae.